GAGGGUGUCGCUCAAGUGGUAGAGCGCGUGCUUAGCGUGCAUGAGGUCCCAGGUUCAAUCCCCGGUACCUCCU
This is a transfer RNA of Camelus ferus (Wild Bactrian camel), 73 nucleotides long. It matches the Rfam family "tRNA". Rfam says of the family: Transfer RNA (tRNA) molecules are approximately 80 nucleotides in length. Lineage: Eukaryota; Metazoa; Chordata; Mammalia; Artiodactyla; Camelidae. The record is from Rfam.